UGCCGCGGGCAGGAGACGGCUUUCUGAGUUGUAAACUGCUUUUGUACGGGAAGAAAAAAGCCAUGCGUGGCGAAUUGCCGGUACCGUACGAAUAAGCACCGGCUAACUCCGUGCCAGCAGCCGCGGUAAUACGGAGGGUGCAAGCGUUGUCCGGAUUUAUUGGGUUUAAAGGGUGCGUAGGCGGAUCUUUAAGUCAGUGGUGAAAUCCUGCAGCUUAACUGUAGAACUGCCAUUGAAACUGGAGGUCUUGAGUAUACUAGAGGUAGGCGGAAUUUAUGGUGUAGCGGUGAAAUGCAUAGAUACCAUAAAGAACACCAAUAGCGUAGGCAGCUUACUGGAGUAUAACUGACGCUGAGGCACGAAAGCAUGGGUAGCGAACAGGAUUAGAUACCCUGGUAGUCCAUGCCGUAAACGAUGAUUACUCGAUGUUGGCGAUAUACAGUCCGCGUCCAAGCGAAAGCGUUAAGUAAUCCACCUGGGGAGUACGCUCGCAGGAGUGAAACUUAAAGGAAUUGACGGGGGUCCCCCCAAGCGGGGGAGCAUGUGGUUUUAAUUUCAAUGAUACGCGAGGAACCUUUACCUUGGGCUAGAAUGUGAAUGGAAUACUGAAGAAAUUUCGUUAGUCUUCCGAACACAAAAAAGGUGGUUGCAUGG
RNAcentral lists this ribosomal RNA (654 nucleotides) under uncultured Bacteroidota bacterium. Its description in RNAcentral is "bacterial SSU rRNA". It matches the Rfam family "Bacterial small subunit ribosomal RNA", at positions 395 to 1048 of the family's 1533-position model. The record is from RNAcentral. Lineage: Bacteria; Pseudomonadati; Bacteroidota.